CUUUCAUUUUGGAAGAAAAGUAGCUUUUGAAGACUCCAGGUCCUGCAUUUCUCCCUCUCCAGUCUGCUCUGCUAAUGACAUCAAGUUUGCUCCCCCUGUGUUUUAGGGGUUUUUUUUUAAGGAAGAAGGAAUAAGUAACAUUGACUGAAAAUCCUUAAUGAUGGAAGCAAAGGAAAUGAUAGGCUGGGCAAAGAGCCAUCCGUCCCUGGUGUCUCAUGGUGGCUGUCUGUGAGUGGCCGUGCCCUAGGAGUUCCUGCUUCCGUGCUGCACACGCCUGCCCCUGUGCCAUAGUCCAUGGGCUCCUGGAAGAUGCCGCUGCAGCUGUCUGUGGAGCCAUCUUGCAAAGGCCCGAGGCAAUGUGCAAUAUUGCUGUGCCGUGAGUCUGGAUGUGGCUGACCCAGAGACCCUCGCAGGAUACAAGAAUUCAACAGGGGGGACACACAGGGGAGAGCAGGAAUGAUUUUUUUAACUGGAACCUCAGCCAAAUGUCAACAGAAUUUUGGUCCCAGGCCUACUUGAUCUUGUCCAUUUGGCACUGCUGGAGGAAUAACAAGUUUCUUCCCAUCAUGCACCUUUCUGGGAUACAUCAUGACAGAGAAAUCUCAAAGCCCAGGUCAAUUAUAACAGAAGAUGUGUAGCACCUCUGCCCCCACAGCGUCUUCUGGGGAUCCACUCAGCAAAAUGAUAUAAAACUAUUUCCAAAGACUUCCCAUGGUCUGGCACUACUUAGAACUGAGUAACUGGCAAAAUAAAACGGAGUGACUUUGGUGGAACGACUCAGAUGUGCCUUUAUGCAGCCCUGCUCUGGACAGCCCGUGGUCUGCAGAACAGCAGAGGUCUGCCUUCAAGUUACUGCAGGCAGAAGAGGGGACAGACUCACAAGUCUGGCAUUCAGCAAGAUGAUAUGGUACAAAGCACCACCCAA
Chiroxiphia lanceolata (lance-tailed manakin) is the source of this 925-nucleotide long non-coding RNA. RefSeq lists it as uncharacterized. The transcript is spliced from 4 exons. NCBI's taxonomy places the organism in Eukaryota, Metazoa, Chordata, Aves, Passeriformes, Pipridae. The record is from RefSeq and is a predicted model, not a curated record.